AUACGGAGGGUCCAAGCGUUAUCCGGAUUCAUUGGGUUUAAAGGGUCCGCAGGCGGGAAAAUAAGUCAGUGGUGAAAGCCUACAGCUCAACUGUAGAACUGCCAUUGAAACUGUUUUUCUUGAGUAUAGAUGAAGUGGGCGGAAUAUAUCAUGUAGCGGUGAAAUGCAUAGAUAUGAUAUAGAACACCGAUUGCGAAGGCAGCUCACUAAACUAUUACUGACGCUCAGGGACGAAAGCGUGGGGAGCGAACAGGAUUAGAAACCCGGGUAGUCC
RNAcentral lists this ribosomal RNA (274 nucleotides) under uncultured bacterium. RNAcentral describes it as "partial 16S ribosomal RNA". It matches the Rfam family "Bacterial small subunit ribosomal RNA", at positions 523 to 796 of the family's 1533-position model. The record is from RNAcentral.